This 253-nucleotide ribosomal RNA is filed under the name uncultured bacterium. RNAcentral describes it as "partial 16S ribosomal RNA". It matches the Rfam family "Bacterial small subunit ribosomal RNA", at positions 524 to 776 of the family's 1533-position model. The record is from RNAcentral.
UACGAAGGGGGCUAGCGUUGCUCGGAAUUACUGGGCGUAAAGGGCUCGUAGGCGGCCAACUAAGUCAUACGUGAAAUCCCUCGGCUUAACCGGGGAACUGCGUGUGAUACUGGAUGGCUUGAGAUUGGGAGAGGGAUGCGGAAUUCCAGGUGUAGCGGUGAAAUGCGUAGAUAUCUGGAGGAACACCGGUGGCGAAGGCGGCAUCCUGGACCAGCACUGACGCUGAGGAGCGAAAGCCAGGGGAGCAAACGGG